GACGCAUGGAAUGGAAAGUAAGCAAUUAAUUAGCUCUGAGUGGAGUUAUCAGAAGAAGUGCAGCAACGUGUUCUAUAAUGGAAAAAUAUUGCUGAAAAUGAAUGGAAAAAUCAAGAAACCUUCUGGGAAGUGUUGCUGGGACUGUGAGGGCCAUCAGGCAGAUACUCAUCCUUAUUGAUGGGAGGGGAAAGCCCUCAGGUGAAACAAAGAAGGCUGGCAGUUUCUCACCAGCUGAGGGGCAGGAGAGUGGACUUAAUGUUGAAAGCAGUUUGAAUGAACCAAGCAGGGCAAAAAAUUUAAAUCUUUGAUGCCAACAAUACAUGAACAGACUACUCCUCACCUAAGAACGUAAGAAGAUAAGAAAAUUCAAAAGAUGGAACAAGAAUACGCCGUUCAAUCCCUCAAGCCAGCUCUGUGGUUCAAGAGGUCAAAAAUUACACGACGCCAGGUCAUAGUCCAACAGGUCUAUUUGAAAACACUAGCUUUCGAAGCGUUGCUCCUGCCUCAGAUGUAGUGAGAAAGGAGGCAUCAAGACACAGAAUAUAUGAGUAAAAGAUCAAAGGAUUAUACAACAGAUGCAAAUGUAUUGAAUAAACCUAAAAUG
Long non-coding RNA from Rhincodon typus (whale shark), 604 nucleotides. RefSeq lists it as uncharacterized. The record is from RefSeq and is a predicted model, not a curated record. The transcript has 3 exons. NCBI's taxonomy places the organism in Eukaryota, Metazoa, Chordata, Chondrichthyes, Orectolobiformes, Rhincodontidae.